RNAcentral lists this microRNA (23 nucleotides) under Cricetulus griseus (Chinese hamster). Its description in RNAcentral is "cgr-miR-6091". The record is from miRBase by way of RNAcentral. Lineage: Eukaryota; Metazoa; Chordata; Mammalia; Rodentia; Cricetidae.
UCCUGCGUCGACUUCUCAGGAGA